GUGGAUUCUCAAGCGUGAGGUAAGAGCAUUUGGUGGAUGCCUUGGCAUGUACAGGCGAUGAAGGACGUGGCACGCUGCGAUAAGCGUGGGGGAGCUGUGAGCAAGCUUUGAUCCCGCGAUUUCCGAAUGGGGAAACCCACCCUCACCAUUUCAUUUCGCUGCUGGCCAUUCUCUUGAUGAGAGUGCCAGUGUCGGAAUGAGGUGGAUAGGGUAUCACCUUGGUGAAUAAAAUAGCCUUGGUGAAGCGAACCCGGAGAACUGAAACAUCUCAGUACCCGGAGGAAAAGACAUCAACCGAGAUUCCGUUAGUAGUGGCGAGCGAACGCGGACCAGGCCAGUGCCUGUUGUUGAAUUAGCAGAACCUUCUGGAAAGUUGGGCCAUAGCGGGUGACAGCCCCGUAUGCGAAAAUGAGACAUCAGGACUUGAGUAGGGCGGGACACGUGAAAUCCUGUCUGAACAUGGGGGGACCACCCUCCAAGCCUAAAUACUCGUACAUGACCGAUAGCGAACAAGUACCGUGAGGGAAAGGUGAAAAGCACCCCGAUGAGGGGAGUGAAACAGUACCUGAAACCGAAUGCUUACAAUCAGUUGGAGGGUCCUUGAGGCCUGACAGCGUACCUCUUGUAUAAUGGGUCAGUGACUUAAUCUAUCAAGCGAGCUUAAGCCGUUAGGUGUAGGCGCAGCGAAAGCGAGUCUGAACAGGGCGACUGAGUUUGAUGGAUUAGACCCGAAACCCGGCGAUCUAGGCAUGACCAGGCUGAAGGUGCGGUAACACGCACUGGAGGG
This 787-nucleotide ribosomal RNA is filed under the name Hapalosiphonaceae cyanobacterium JJU2. RNAcentral's name for it is "bacterial LSU rRNA". It matches the Rfam family "Bacterial large subunit ribosomal RNA", at positions 1 to 773 of the family's 2925-position model. Lineage: Bacteria; Bacillati; Cyanobacteriota; Cyanophyceae; Nostocales; Hapalosiphonaceae. The record is from RNAcentral.